RNAcentral lists this ribosomal RNA (256 nucleotides) under uncultured bacterium. Its description in RNAcentral is "partial 16S ribosomal RNA". It matches the Rfam family "Bacterial small subunit ribosomal RNA", at positions 337 to 609 of the family's 1533-position model. The record is from RNAcentral.
ACCUACGGGGCGCAGCAGUGGGGGAUAUUGCACAAUGGGGGAAACCCUGAUGCAGCGACGCCGCGUGAGUGAAGAAGUAUUUCGGUACGUAAAGCUCUAUCAGCAGGGAAGAAUAAUGACGGUACCUGACUAAGAAGCCCCGGCUAACUACGUGCCAGCAGCCGCGGUAAUACGUAGGGGGCAAGCGUUAUCCGGAUUUACUGGGUGUAAAGGGAGCGUAGACGGCUGUGCAAGUCUGAAGUGGAAUGCCGGGGCU